GUGGAUGUAACUCAAUGGUAGAGUGUGAUCUUGCCAAGGUUAAAGUUGAGGGUUCAAGUCCCUUCUUCCACU
Molecule: transfer RNA, 72 nt
Filed under: Guinardia striata
Lineage: Eukaryota; Bacillariophyta; Coscinodiscophyceae; Rhizosoleniales; Rhizosoleniaceae
Description: tRNA-Gly
Rfam family: tRNA
About the family: Transfer RNA (tRNA) molecules are approximately 80 nucleotides in length. Their secondary structure includes four short double-helical elements and three loops (D, anti-codon, and T loops). Further hydrogen bonds mediate the characteristic L-shaped molecular structure. tRNAs have two regions of fundamental functional importance: the anti-codon, which is responsible for specific mRNA codon recognition, and the 3' end, to which the tRNAs corresponding amino acid is attached (by aminoacyl-tRNA synthetases). tRNAs cope with the degeneracy of the genetic code in two manners: having more than one tRNA (with a specific anti-codon) for a particular amino acid; and 'wobble' base-pairing, i.e. permitting non-standard base-pairing at the 3rd anti-codon position.
Source: RNAcentral